CCCCAGUCAAUAGUCCCCCAGUCAGUCAUCUCCCCCAGUCAAUAGUCCCCCAGUCAGUCAUCUCCCAGUCAAUAGUCCACCAGUCAAUAGCCCCCAGUCAAUAGCCCCCAGUCAGUCAUCUCCCAGUCAAUAGUCCCCCAGUCAUCCCCCCCCCAGUCAGUCAUCUCCCAGUCAAUAGCCCACCAGUCAAUAGCCCCCCAGUCAGUCAUCUCCCAGUCAAUAGUCCACCAGUCAAUAGCCCCCAGUCAGUCAUCUCCCAGUCAAUAGUCCACCAGUCAAUAGCCCCCAGUCAGUCAUCUCCCAGUCAAUAGCCCCCAGUCAAUAGUCCACCAGUCAAUAGUCCACCAGUCAAUAGUCCCCAGUCAAUAGUCCCCAGUCAAUAGUCCA
Molecule: long non-coding RNA, 387 nt
Organism: Oncorhynchus tshawytscha (Chinook salmon)
Lineage: Eukaryota; Metazoa; Chordata; Actinopteri; Salmoniformes; Salmonidae
Source: Ensembl